GACGAACGCUGGCGGCGUGCUUAACACAUGCAAGUCGAACAGAAAGGCCCUGCUUUUGUGGGGUGCUCGAGUGGCGAACGGGUGAGUAACACGUGAGUAACCUGCCCUUGACUUUGAGAUAACUUCAGGAAACUGGGGCUAAUACCGGAUAGGAGCUCCUGCUGCAUGGUGGGGGUUGGAAAGUUUCGGCGGUUGGGGAUGGACUCGCGGCUUAUCAGCUUGUUGGUGGGGUAGUGGCUUACCAAGGCUUUGACGGGUAGCCGGCCUGAGAGGGUGACCGGCCACAUUGGGACUGAGAUACGGCCCAGACUCCUACGGGAGGCAGCAGUGGGGAAUAUUGCACAAUGGGCGGAAGCCUGAUGCAGCAACGCCGCGUGCGGGAUGACGGCCUUCGGGUUGUAAACCGCUUUCGCCUGUGACGAAGCGUGAGUGACGGUAAUGGGUAAAGAAGCACCGGCUAACUACGUG
Molecule: ribosomal RNA, 468 nt
Filed under: uncultured bacterium
Lineage: Bacteria
Description: partial 16S ribosomal RNA
Rfam family: Bacterial small subunit ribosomal RNA
Source: RNAcentral